UACGUAGGGGGCAAGCGUUGUCCGGAAUCAUUGGGCGUAAAGCGCGUGUAGGCGGCUGGGUAAGUCCGCUCUGAAAGCCCGGGGCUCAACCCCGGGAGGCGGGUGGAUACUGCCCAGCUCGAGUCCGGAAGAGGAGUGUGGAAUUCCUGGUGUAGCGGUGAAAUGCGCAGAUAUCAGGAGGAACACCAAUGGCGAAGGCAGCACUCUGGGACGGUACUGACGCUGAGACGCGAAAGCGUGGGGAGCAAACAGG
RNAcentral lists this ribosomal RNA (253 nucleotides) under uncultured bacterium. RNAcentral describes it as "partial 16S ribosomal RNA". It matches the Rfam family "Bacterial small subunit ribosomal RNA", at positions 524 to 776 of the family's 1533-position model. The record is from RNAcentral.